This 30-nucleotide non-coding RNA is filed under the name Homo sapiens (human). The record is from RNAcentral. Lineage: Eukaryota; Metazoa; Chordata; Mammalia; Primates; Hominidae.
UAGUGACCACCUACUAUGAGGAGUCCGGCC